This 309-nucleotide ribosomal RNA is filed under the name uncultured archaeon. Its description in RNAcentral is "bacterial SSU rRNA". It matches the Rfam family "Archaeal small subunit ribosomal RNA", at positions 526 to 834 of the family's 1478-position model. The record is from RNAcentral.
UGGCCGCGCAAGUCCAUCGGGAAAUCCACCCGCCCAACGGGUGGCCGUCCGGUGGAAACUGCACGGCUUGGGACCGGAAGGCGCGACGGGUACGUCCAGGGUAGGAGUGAAAUCCCGUAAUCCUGGACGGACCGCCGAUGGCGAAAGCACGUCGCGAGAACGGAUCCGACAGUGAGGGACGAAAGCCAGGGUCUCGAACCGGAUUAGAUACCCGGGUAGUCCUGGCCGUAAACACUGCCUGCUAGGUGUGGCUCCCACUACGAGUGGGUGCUGUGCCGUAGGGAAGCCGCUAAGCAGGCCGCCUGGGAA